Long non-coding RNA from Aedes albopictus (Asian tiger mosquito), 667 nucleotides. RefSeq lists it as uncharacterized. The record is from RefSeq and is a predicted model, not a curated record. The transcript has 2 exons. NCBI's taxonomy places the organism in Eukaryota, Metazoa, Arthropoda, Insecta, Diptera, Culicidae.
CGGCAACAACGAUGCGACGACGGAGUACGAGCUGGAACGGUUCGACCUGGAAAAAACAACAAUAUUGGAUCAACAUAGAAGACAGUCAGCCCUACCAAUCCUAGAAGUAUGUAGCAUCAUAAACACUCCCCGUACAGUAAACAAGAGAUCUGACAUUGACAGUUUAAGUUCAAUGUAUGUAGGAAUCUUACACACACUCAAAAAUCAACAGUCCAACUCAAGAAACACCACCACACACCAAACACACGAAUAGCUAAAAGAUUAGAUCCACACCAGUUACCUCCACUUAUUUCCCACAAUUUGUCCAAACAAUAUCCACCAUCGUUACAUGAACAAAAUGACCGUUGGUUGGAUAGUGAAGGUGUUUCCGAAUUCAGAUAUUUUUAAAAAACGUUUUUUUGUUGUUCAGAGAGUAUGUCAAGUGGUAGAAAAUGUGUAAAAAUGUGUAAAAGUCAUAUUAUAAUUUUUGUAGGAUUUUUGCCAACACUUUUUUGGAAAAUUUAGACGGAUCAUGCUAAAACCGAGCCCACAAAACGAGAACGAUUGCAAGUUCUGUGAGGUCUAAUGUUAUUUAGCUUAUUAUAAUUAGCUUAUGAUGUCUCGUUUUAAUUGUAGAAUUCCCUGAAGAAGGUGUAAUAAACACCGAAACGUCGGAUGAAGAACGAUA